GCUAAACGCGAAGAACCUUACCAGGGCUUGACAUGCCCCUGACCGUUCUAGAGAUAGGACUUUACCUUCGGGUACAGGGGACACAGGUGGUGCAUGGUUGUCGUCAGCUCGUGUCGUGAGAUGUUGGGUUAAGUCCCGCAACGAGCGCAACCCUUGCCUUUAGUUGCCAUCAUUAAGUUGGGCACUCUAGAGGGACUGCCGAUGAUAAAUCGGAGGAAGGUGGGGAUGACGUCAAAUCAUCAUGCCCUUUAUGUCCUGGGCUACACACGUGCUACAAUGGUCGGUACAACGAGAAGCAACAUAGCGAUGUGAAGCAAAACUCAAAAAGCCGAUCCCAGUUCGGAUUGCAGGCUGCAACUCGCCUGCAUGAAGUCGGAGUUGCUAGUAAUCGCGAAUCAGAAUGUCGCGGUGAAUGCGUUCCCGGGUCUUGUACACACCG
Molecule: ribosomal RNA, 439 nt
Filed under: uncultured bacterium
Lineage: Bacteria
Description: bacterial SSU rRNA
Rfam family: Bacterial small subunit ribosomal RNA
Source: RNAcentral